Camarhynchus parvulus is the source of this 337-nucleotide non-coding RNA. NCBI's taxonomy places the organism in Eukaryota, Metazoa, Chordata, Aves, Passeriformes, Thraupidae. The record is from the annotation of a RefSeq genome assembly.
CUCCGGGCCAAAGUGACCCUGCUGGAGCCCGGGGGCACCUCCAGCCCCCCGGGGGUCCCUGCGCCUCCUCUGCCGCGGCUCUGGGUUCAGUUUCGGGAAUUCUGGAAUGUAUUGGAUCCGCCAGAGACCCGGGCAGGGGCUGGAAUUUGUUGCGGGGAUCAAUGGUGAUGGUGUGAACACCGGCUACGCGCCCUCGGUGCAGGGCCGGUUCACGAUCUCCAGGGACAACGGGCAGAGCUCGGUGACGCUGACCAUGAACAGCCUCAGGGACGAAGAUUCUGCCGUCUAUUUCUGCGCCAAAUCUGCUGAUGGUUACGGUUAUGUUUUGCCCAUUUGA